ACCAUGAGAGCCGGUAAUACCCGAAGUCCGUAGCCUAACUGCAAGGAGGGCGCGGCCGAAGGUAGGACUGGUAAUUAGGGUAAAGUCGUAACAAGGUAAC
RNAcentral lists this ribosomal RNA (100 nucleotides) under uncultured bacterium. RNAcentral describes it as "partial 16S ribosomal RNA". It matches the Rfam family "Bacterial small subunit ribosomal RNA", at positions 1401 to 1500 of the family's 1533-position model. The record is from RNAcentral.